CAAUAGCGUAUAUUAAAGCUGUUGCGGUUAAAAAGCUCGUAGUUGGAUUUCUGUCAAGGACGACUGGUCCGCCCUCCGGGUGAGCACAUAGUUUGGUCUUGGCAUCUUGCUGGAAGCUGUGCUGUGCUUGGCUGUACGGUACAGGGUCCAGCACUUUCACUUUGAGGAAAUUGGAGUGUUUCAAGCAGGCACAUGCCUUUGGACACAGUAGCAUGGAAUAAUUUGAUUGGGCUUCUGCUCCAAUUUGUCGGUUUCUGGAGCUGAGGUUAGAAUUAAUGGGGAUUGUUGGGGGCAUCCGAAUUUAGCCGUCAGAGGUGAAAUUCUUGGAUUUGUUAAAGACGGACUACUGCGAAAGCAUUUGCCAAGGAUGUUUUCAUUG
This 379-nucleotide ribosomal RNA is filed under the name uncultured eukaryote. Its description in RNAcentral is "partial 18S ribosomal RNA". It matches the Rfam family "Eukaryotic small subunit ribosomal RNA", at positions 592 to 975 of the family's 1831-position model. The record is from RNAcentral.